This 473-nucleotide ribosomal RNA is filed under the name uncultured organism. Its description in RNAcentral is "partial 16S ribosomal RNA". It matches the Rfam family "Bacterial small subunit ribosomal RNA", at positions 333 to 797 of the family's 1533-position model. The record is from RNAcentral.
ACACUCCUACGGGAGGCAGCAGUGGGGAAUUUUGGACAAUGGGCGAAAGCCUGAUCCAGCAAUGCCGCGUGAGUGAAGAAGGCCUUCGGGUUGUAAAGCUCUUUUGUCAGGGAAGAAACGGUGAAAGCUAAUAUCUUUUGCUAAUGACGGUACCUGAAGAAUAAGCACCGGCUAACUACGUGCCAGCAGCCGCGGUAAUACGUAGGGUGCAAGCGUUAAUCGGAAUUACUGGGCGUAAAGCGUGCGCAGGCGGUUUUGUAAGUCUGAUGUGAAAUCCCCGGGCUCAACCUGGGAAUUGCAUUGGAGACUGCAAGGCUAGAAUCUGGCAGAGGGGGGUAGAAUUCCACGUGUAGCAGUGAAAGGCGUAGAUAUGUGGAGGAACACCGAUGGCGAAGGCAGCCCCCUGGGUCAAGAUUGACGCUCAUGCACGAAAGCGUGGGGAGCAAACAGGAUUAGAUACCCGAGUAGUCCCA